GACGAACGCUGGCGGCGUGCUUAACACAUGCAAGUCGAACGGAAAGGCCCUGCUUUUGUGGCUUGCUCGAGUGGCGAACGGGUGAGUAACACGUGAGUAACCUGCCCUUGACUUUGGGAUAACUUCAGGAAACUGGGGCUAAUACCGGAUAGGAGCUCCUGCUGCAUGGUGGGGGUUGGAAAGUUUCGGCGGUUGGGGAUGGACUCGCGGCUUAUCAGCUUGUUGGUGGGGUAGUGGCUUACCAAGGCUUUGACGGGUAGCCGGCCUGAGAGGGUGACCGGCCACAUGGGGACUGAGAGACGGCCCAGAAUCCUACGGGAGGCAGCAGGGGGGAAUAUUGCACAAUGGGCGGAAGCCUGAUGCAGCAACGCCGCGUGCGGGAUGACGGCCUUCGGGUUGUAAACCGCUUUCUCCUGUGACGAAGCGUGAGUGACGGUAAUGGGUAAAGAAGCACCGGCUAACUACGUG
Molecule: ribosomal RNA, 468 nt
Filed under: uncultured bacterium
Lineage: Bacteria
Description: partial 16S ribosomal RNA
Rfam family: Bacterial small subunit ribosomal RNA
Source: RNAcentral